AUACGGAGGAUCCAAGCGUUAUCCGGAUUUAUUGGGUUUAAAGGGUGCGCAGGCGGCCUUAUAAGUCAGUGGUGAAAUCUCCCGGCUCAACCGGGAAACUGCCAUUGAUACUGUAAGGCUAGAAUACAGACGAGGUAGGCGGAAUGUAGCAUGUAGCGGUGAAAUGCUUAGAUAUGCUACAGAACACCGAUCGCGAAGGCAGCUUACCAGACUGUAAUUGACGCUAAGGCACAAAAGCGUGGGGAGCGAACUGGAUUAGAAACCCCAGUAGUCC
This 274-nucleotide ribosomal RNA is filed under the name uncultured bacterium. Its description in RNAcentral is "partial 16S ribosomal RNA". It matches the Rfam family "Bacterial small subunit ribosomal RNA", at positions 523 to 796 of the family's 1533-position model. The record is from RNAcentral.